Molecule: ribosomal RNA, 404 nt
Filed under: bacterium
Lineage: Bacteria
Description: partial 16S ribosomal RNA
Rfam family: Bacterial small subunit ribosomal RNA
Source: RNAcentral
UGGGGAAUCUUGGACAACGGGCGCAAGCCUGAUCCAGCCAUGCCGCGUGAGUGACGAAGGCCUUAGGGUUGUAAAGCUCUUUUGCCGGGGACGAUAAUGACGGUACCCGGAGAAUAAGUCCCGGCUAACUUCGUGCCAGCAGCCGCGGUAAUACGAAGGGGACUAGCGUUGUUCGGAAUUACUGGGCGUAAAGCGCACGUAGGCGGAUUUGUAAGUCAGGGGUGAAAUCCCGGGGCUCAACCUCGGAACUGCCUUUGAUACUGCAAAUCUCGAGUCCGAUAGAGGUGGGUGAAAUUCCUAGUGUAGAGGUGAAAUUCGUAGAUAUUAGGAAGAACACCGGUGGCGAAGGCGGCCCACUGGAUCGGUACUGACGCUGAGGUGCGAAAGCGUGGGGAGCAAACAGG